This 459-nucleotide ribosomal RNA is filed under the name uncultured bacterium. Its description in RNAcentral is "partial 16S ribosomal RNA". It matches the Rfam family "Bacterial small subunit ribosomal RNA", at positions 338 to 795 of the family's 1533-position model. The record is from RNAcentral.
CCUACGGGUGACAGCAGUGAGGAAUAUUGGUCAAUGGCCGAGAGGCUGAACCAGCCAAGUCGCGUGAGGGAAGACUGCCCUACGGGUUGUAAACCUCUUUUGUCGGGGAGCAAAGCGAGCCACGUGUGACUCAUUGAGAGUACCCGAAGAAAAAGCAUCGGCUAACUCCGUGCCAGCAGCCGCGGUAAUACGGAGGAUGCGAGCGUUAUCCGGAUUUAUUGGGUUUAAAGGGUGCGCAGGCGGAGUUUCAAGUCAGCGGUAAAAUUGCGGGGCUCAACCCCGUACAGCCGUUGAAACUGAUUCCCUUGAGUGCGCGAGAAGUAUGCGGAAUGCGUGGUGUAGCGGUGAAAUGCAUAGAUAUCACGCAGAACUCCGAUUGCGAAGGCAGCAUACCGGCGCGCGACUGACGCUCAUGCACGAAAGCGUGGGUAUCGAACAGGAUUAGAUACCCGAGUAGUC